AUCUUGUGUGACCAUAUUAUCGCCGUGUCAUGCACUGUGGGAUUCCUUUGCCCUUUCAUGGAUGUUCUACUGUAAUUGUUUCGUUUUGUUGUCUUGCUAGUUUGUAGAUUUCUUUGUUGUUACUGUAAUAAAAGAUAAAUCGAUUUUUUUCCAUACAUUUUUUCAGGCUAAGAUGACUUUUAAGCAGAUCCUGUUGUCGAUUUUCAUUCUAGUGAUGUCAGUUGCCCUGCUAGUGAUUGCAUCAGGCCUGCAGCUUUUUAUUGCAACGGAUGGUACAACUGCACUGGGCAGCCAUGAGGUGAAGAGUCAAAUGCCAGCAGAAGUAUUUAAGCAAGUGGUCAUGGAUUCAGAAAACAGGUAACACCCAAGUGGAGAAGUGGGGUGUUAGUUUAGACUGUACAGUGUCAUGAGAAUAAGUGUGUGUUUACCAAGACAAAAUAAAUGGUGGUGUAAAAUGUGACAUGUUUCUCUGAUUGACAGAAACUGAAACAAGACAAUAAACACUGUAUGCCAUUACAUGAGGCAUUAAAGUUAAAAAGAAACGGGUUGUCUUUGGUUAAUUGUGAUUUAUAUGUUGUGUGAUUGAUUAUUUAUGAGCAGUUGUGUGUUAAAGGUCUUUGUUGCCCAGGUCACUUAAGGCAUUCAGUUUGAUUUUUUGUUGUAUGAGCAGGAUACAUAGCAUUUAUGUUUCAUUGAAGACGAUUAUUACAGAUGAAUGCUUUCUGAGGUUAGUGUCAAGCGUUAGAACAAUCACACUUUUGUGUAAUGAAUCCAGUUUUAGGAAGAAACA
Long non-coding RNA from Cryptotermes secundus, 790 nucleotides. RefSeq lists it as uncharacterized. The record is from RefSeq and is a predicted model, not a curated record. The transcript is spliced from 2 exons. Lineage: Eukaryota; Metazoa; Arthropoda; Insecta; Blattodea; Kalotermitidae.